GGGAGCGCAAAGGUUUCGACAAGCAGCCUUUUUAAAAAUUCAACCCGAGGAUGAUUGUGAGCUCGUAAAAAUCAAUCAAACAAAAGUGCAAAUAAUUUUGCGCCUUCCUACGCAUACGCCUAACCGGCUUAACGCGUAGCGUCCCAAUCAUUUCUUGCUUCGGGAAAGAUUGGGGCGUCAACCAACGAAGCUUGAUUUUUAAUCUUUUUUCUCCUAUGAUUAAAAACGACUUUUUAAGGAGAACUCUAUUUUUAAUUUUGUCUUUUUUAUAGGAAAUGGAGAAAAAAUAAAAAGACUACGGUUGUAAAUUUUUUAACGAGAUUGACUAUGGACAGGGGUUCAAUCCCCUCGCUUCCACAA
RNAcentral lists this transfer-messenger RNA (360 nucleotides) under Candidatus Niyogibacteria bacterium RIFCSPLOWO2_12_FULL_41_13. It matches the Rfam family "transfer-messenger RNA". From Rfam's summary of the family: Bacterial tmRNA, also known as 10Sa RNA or SsrA, is named for its dual tRNA and mRNA-like properties. Its role is to liberate the mRNA from a stalled ribosome. RNAcentral also lists the same sequence under 1 other name. Lineage: Bacteria; Candidatus Niyogiibacteriota. The record is from RNAcentral.